This is a small nuclear RNA of Siniperca chuatsi (mandarin fish), 105 nucleotides long. NCBI's taxonomy places the organism in Eukaryota, Metazoa, Chordata, Actinopteri, Centrarchiformes, Sinipercidae. The record is from RefSeq and is a predicted model, not a curated record.
GCAAGCCUCGGCAGCACAUACGAUAAAUUGGAAUCAAUACAGAGAAGAUUAGCAUGGCCCCUGUGGCGGGAUGACACGCAAAUUCGUCAAGAGUUGAGGCUUGCC